GCCAUGCUUGCUAAGUCUGUCUGUUGGCUGUUGCUAUGGCUACGGAAAGCCAGUGGAACCCAAUGAGCUGUCUGCAGAGGCGCUGAGAGGACCAGCCAUUUUACUUAGGGAAAGCAGUGUGGCAUAAAGCCUUUCUGUGGAGGAAGCAUUUUUUUGAAAAAAAGAAAAAUCUUUGGGGAGAAGAGAGCCCACAGUGGGCACGCUAGUGCACAAUUAUUGCAGCCACGUGUGCCCGCAAGCUGGCCCUGCGACAAGCUGUUGAGUGCUGUUGCAAUUAGCUGAUUGGAGAACGGGGACUGCAGGGUGAUAAUGCUGCGUCUCCGCUCGCGGGCACCAGGAAAGGGUUUUGUCUCGGGAAGGCAAGUCUUCCCUGCACAGUUAUCUCAGCAGCUCCCUAGCUGAAGAGAACUGGGGGCUCUAAAGGGAGGGGGUCGCACUGUGCGAGCACAGGUUCUGGGCCAGGCUGUUGCUUAUGAGCCGCAGGUCUGGGAAAGCAGGUGUGUGCUCGGACCGGCACUGGGCUGGAACGCAGGCGGCCGCUCUCGGGUUCACCUGCUUCCUGUUAACAGACUGUUGGCUCACAGAGCAUCUGCUCCUACACGCUGAAGCUGCGGCUGAGAAAGGGGUUCCGGGCAUCCCACUUGACUGACGGAGGCACUUGGAUUGGACUUAAUCUUAAACCUCUGGAGGUCAAGACCUUUUAAAAAGGGCUAAAUAAACAUUCUACAUGUAAAAGGCCAGCGACUCCUACUUCCUCUGUUGGAGCAACUGUGAAGUCCAGCCUCUUCUAGAGCCAGAAUAGGACAGACUCAUAUACCAUUCUGAUCUGGGUGCAUUUCUUCAGAAGGUAUGCUGCCCUCAUGGGGAA
Long non-coding RNA from Rattus rattus (black rat), 868 nucleotides. RefSeq lists it as uncharacterized. NCBI's taxonomy places the organism in Eukaryota, Metazoa, Chordata, Mammalia, Rodentia, Muridae. The transcript has 3 exons. The record is from RefSeq and is a predicted model, not a curated record.